GAUGAACGCUGGCGGCGUGCCUAAUACAUGCGAGUCGAGCGAACAGACGAGGAGCUUGCUCCUCUGACGUUAGCGGCGGACGGGUGAGUAACACGUGGAUAACCUACCUAUAAGACUGGGAUAACUUCGGGAAACCGGAGCUAAUACCGGAUAAUAUAUUGAACCGCAUGGUUCAAUAGUGAAAGACGGUUUUGCUGUCACUUAUAGAUGGAUCCGCGCCGCAUUAGCUAGCUGGUAAGGUAACGGCUUACCAAGGCAACGAUGCGUAGCCGACCUGAGAGGGUGAUCGGCCACACUGGAACUGAGACACGGUCCAGACUCCUACGGGAGGCAGCAGUAGGGAAUCUUCCGCAAUGGGCGAAAGCCUGACGGAGCAACGCCGCGUGAGUGAUGAAGGUCUUCGGAUCGUAAAACUCUGUUAUUAGGGAAGAACAAAUGUGUAAGUAACUAUGCACGUCUUGACGGUACCUAAUCAGAAAGCCACGGCUAACUACGUG
This 497-nucleotide ribosomal RNA is filed under the name uncultured bacterium. RNAcentral's name for it is "partial 16S ribosomal RNA". It matches the Rfam family "Bacterial small subunit ribosomal RNA", at positions 28 to 507 of the family's 1533-position model. The record is from RNAcentral.